GGAGAAGUGGCCGAGCGGCUUAAGGCGCACGCUUGGAAAGCGUGUGUACGGCUUAUCCCCGUACCGUGGGUUCGAAUCCCACCUUCUCCGCCA
Molecule: transfer RNA, 93 nt
Filed under: Burkholderiales bacterium
Lineage: Bacteria; Pseudomonadati; Pseudomonadota; Betaproteobacteria; Burkholderiales
Description: tRNA-Ser
Rfam family: tRNA
About the family: Transfer RNA (tRNA) molecules are approximately 80 nucleotides in length.
Source: RNAcentral